ACUCCUACGGGAGGCAGCAGUGGGGAAUAUUGGACAAUGGGCGCAACCCUGAUCUAGCCAUGCCGCGUGAGUGAUGAAGGCCUUAGGGUUGUAAAGCUCUUUCAGCUGGGAAGAUAAUGACGGUACCAGCAGAAGAAGCCCCGGCUAACUCCGUGCCAGCAGCCGCGGUAAU
This 172-nucleotide ribosomal RNA is filed under the name uncultured bacterium. Its description in RNAcentral is "partial 16S ribosomal RNA". It matches the Rfam family "Bacterial small subunit ribosomal RNA", at positions 335 to 524 of the family's 1533-position model. The record is from RNAcentral.